AUUUCAGAAACUUCAUCAAACGAUUAACUAGAAAAUCCUCAUCUCAUUGGAACACUAAAAUUGUUCAUCAUCCCAGACAAAGUGAUGGCCACAACUGCGGACCACUCAUCUUAAAGUUUGCAGAAGCGUAUUUGCAGCACAAAGACAUCAGUAUGGUAGAAACAACACAAGAGGCUAAUACUGCCUUUAGAAGACAUAUAGCAAUUCUUCUAAUGAAGGAGUCAGAAAACGUGGAAGACUACUGCAUAUACUGCAACCUCGUCAACUGUGAAAAGGAAAGUGAGGAUUGCACGAUGGUAAGAAACAUAGAAUUAUAUGAGAAAUAAAUGCCAUAAACUG
Molecule: non-coding RNA, 339 nt
Organism: Chrysemys picta bellii (western painted turtle)
Lineage: Eukaryota; Metazoa; Chordata; Testudines; Emydidae
Source: RefSeq, a predicted model, not a curated record